This 209-nucleotide long non-coding RNA is filed under the name Mytilus galloprovincialis (Mediterranean mussel). Lineage: Eukaryota; Metazoa; Mollusca; Bivalvia; Mytilida; Mytilidae. The record is from RNAcentral.
GUUUGUCAUUAUGUCGUCUAAUCUUUUAAUUACCAAACGUGACUUAUUCCCGAUUGUGACUGUUUUGCUGAAUGUGAAUUCGCAUUACUAUAAGACGUGUUUCUGUACUUGUUUAUCCCAAAUUCAUGUAUUUAGUUUAAAUGUUUAAUGUUAUAUUUGUAAUUCUCAUCGGAUUUUGUCAAAUGUGUUGACGUCUUUUUUAUUAUAUU